GUGGCGAACGGGUGAGUAAUACAUCGGAACGUGCCCUGUAGUGGGGGAUAACUAGUCGAAAGAUUAGCUAAUACCGCAUACGACCUGAGGGUGAAAGUGGGGGACCGCAAGGCCUCAUGCUAUAGGAGCGGCCGAUGUCUGAUUAGCUAGUUGGUGGGGUAAAGGCCCACCAAGGCGACGAUCAGUAGCUGGUCUGAGAGGACGAUCAGCCACACUGGGACUGAGACACGGCCCAGACUCCUACGGGAGGCAGCAGUGGGGAAUUUUGGACAAUGGGCGAAAGCCUGAUCCAGCAAUGCCGCGUGUGUGAAGAAGGCCUUCGGGUUGUAAAGCACUUUUGUCCGGAAAGAAAUGGCUCUGGUUAAUACCUGGGGUCGAUGACGGUACCGGAAGAAUAAGGACCGGCUAACUACGUGCCAGCAGCCGCGGUAAUACGUAGGGUCCAAGCGUUAAUCGGAAUUACUGGGCGUAAAGCGUGCGCAGGCGGUUGUGCAAGACCGAUGUGAAAUCCCCGAGCUUAACUUGGGAAUUGCAUUGGUGACUGCACGGCUAGAGUGUGUCAGAGGGGGGUAGAAUUCCACGUGUA
RNAcentral lists this ribosomal RNA (586 nucleotides) under Ralstonia sp. SO7.8. RNAcentral's name for it is "bacterial SSU rRNA". It matches the Rfam family "Bacterial small subunit ribosomal RNA", at positions 95 to 677 of the family's 1533-position model. The record is from RNAcentral. Lineage: Bacteria; Pseudomonadati; Pseudomonadota; Betaproteobacteria; Burkholderiales; Burkholderiaceae.